This 255-nucleotide ribosomal RNA is filed under the name uncultured soil bacterium. Its description in RNAcentral is "partial 16S ribosomal RNA". It matches the Rfam family "Bacterial small subunit ribosomal RNA", at positions 26 to 309 of the family's 1533-position model. The record is from RNAcentral.
AGAACGAACGCUGGCGGCAUGCCUAAUACAUGCAAGUCGAACGAACACUUCGGUGUUAGUGGCGCACGGGUGCGUAACGCGUGGGAAUCUGCCCUUGGGUUCGGAAUAACAGUUGGAAACGACUGCUAAUACCGGAUGAUGACGAAAGUCCAAAGAUUUAUCGCCCAGGGAUGAGCCCGCGUAGGAUUAGCUAGUUGGUGAGGUAAAGGCUCACCAAGGCGACGAUCCUUAGCUGGUCUGAGAGGAUGAUCAGCC